This 497-nucleotide ribosomal RNA is filed under the name uncultured bacterium. RNAcentral describes it as "partial 16S ribosomal RNA". It matches the Rfam family "Bacterial small subunit ribosomal RNA", at positions 28 to 507 of the family's 1533-position model. The record is from RNAcentral.
GAUGAACGCUGGCGGCGUGCCUAAUACAUGCAAGUCGAGCGAACAGACGAGGAGCUUGCUCCUCUGACGUUAGCGGCGGACGGGUGAGUAACACGUGGAUAACCUACCUAUAAGACUGGGAUAACUUCGGGAAACCGGAGCUAAUACCGGAUAAUAUAUUGAACCGCAUGGUUCAAUAGUGAAGGACGGUUUUGCUGUCACUUAUAGAUGGAUCCGCGCCGCAUUAGCUAGUUGGUAAGGUAACGGCUUACCAAGGCAACGAUGCGUAGCCGACCUGAGAGGGUGAUCGGCCACACUGGAACUGAGACACGGUCCAGACUCCUACGGGAGGUAGCAGUAGGGAAUCUUCCGCAAUGGGCGAAAGCCUGACGGAGCAACGCCGCGUGAGUGAUGAAGGUCUUCGGAUCGUAAAACUCUGUUAUUAGGGAAGAACAAAUGUGUAAGUAACUAUGCACGUCUUGACGGUACCUAAUCAGAAAGCCACGGCUAACUACGUG